Molecule: long non-coding RNA, 1907 nt
Filed under: Ananas comosus (pineapple)
Lineage: Eukaryota; Viridiplantae; Streptophyta; Magnoliopsida; Poales; Bromeliaceae
Description: long non-coding RNA (ACOM_LNC035165)
Source: RNAcentral
AAAAGAAAAAAAAUUUGCACGAAAAAUGAAAUUUCGCUGGUCAAAAUAAUAUUUUCCUUCAAGCGUUUACUGUUUACUUAAUUUAUAGCUUUGUUUUUUUAGAGAUAGGGAGCAUGCUACCUGCUUCGUUCAUUUAAUUUAUAGCAUUUACUGUUUACUUUAUAUUUUAGCUAAGCAGGUAGCUAAAAGCAUCUACUCCUAUUUGUAGCUGUAUAUUAAACAAAGUGGAUAGCUAAUACCACACUACAAAAAAAUUAACAUUUAAGCAUACUUUUUUAUUAUAUUUAACGUUGCUUAAAAUCGUCCUAAUAUAGUCUAGUGUGACAUUUAAAUGCUAUUAAAACGUCGCCACGUAUAUACCGAUACUUAUGCCAAAAAUAAAAAAAAAUAAUAAAGUUUUUCAUCCAAUAAAUUAAUUUGUUAUAAUAAAUGGUUCAUAUGAAAAUAUUUUUUGAAAUGUCGAUAUUUGCUAUAUUAUAGAGAGCAUGCAGAUGCCUUUUUUAAGUGUUAUUUAAAAAACAUCCUUGUAUUAAGAUUUUUUUUUAUACUGCCACUUAAUUGUAACUGCACAUUUGUGCAGUGUAAAAAAUAAACCAAGUGGCUAACUAAAAACACCUACUAACGGUAUAUUCGUGCAAUGCAUCACUAUUUCAAUACAACCAUCAAAUUUAUUGUGAUAUAGAAAUUUGUGGAAAUUGGUGGACAAUGAGUGGGUUGACGUUGGGAGAGGUGACUGAAGUAAAUGGAGACUAGUCGACGAAACAAGGUCGAACUAUUGGAUGUUAAUUUUUUUCGAUAAAAAUGUUGGGAGACCGCCCCUCACUGAUUGUAUAUUUUGAAAUAGCCCUCUUAAGUGUUUUUUUUUAAAAAAAAAAUACUAUACAUACACACUAAAAAAACGGAUAUGAUAUAUAUCCCAUCCAUCUAAGGAGUGAAAAUUAUNUUUUUUUUUUUUUUUUGUUUUCGGUUCGAGACCCCGGUUGUCUCACCCCUGUAGCCUAAUUCAUCAUUUCAAUGAAUGAAGCAUGUAGCGUGCUAUCUAUUCUCAAAAAAUAUACUUUUACGUUCUCCGGUGGAACCGCAGAAAAUAUAUUGUAACUGACUCAUCGCGAUAUGUGGAACGCAAUAUUACGUACGGAAACAAAUAAGAUAUUUUUCCAACGUACUUUCUCACCGCAUAUAGCGCAAUCUUUCUUUAAUCUCAAACGAAGCCUAAGUUUUUUGCCAUUUGUGUUAGUAACACUCAGUAUAUCUAUGUGUGUGUUGAUACUUGAUACAGUUUAAUAGUCCCUUUGGUACAUGCUCUGUCAACUAGCUACUAGUGUAAAGAGAUGCACAUGCAGGUCUAUCUUCUUUUCUUACCUAAAGUUUCUUGCAUUGAAUUGUUCCCUCUCUAACAAAAUUCUUUUUUUAAUGUCUUGUUACAGGUUGGAAGCUAUCUUGGUACACAUAUAAAAUUCUCAAAAAGGAAAAAGAAAAUGGGACGAGUAAAUUAUGUUUGGAUUGUUGAAAAAGAAAAAAAAUUUGCACGAAAAAUUAAAUUUUGCUGGUCAAAAUAAUAUUUUCCUUCAAGCAUUUACUGUUUACUUAAUUUAUAGCUUUGUUUUUUUAGAGAUAGGGAGCAUGCUACCCGAUUCGUUCAUUUUAUUUAGAAAUAAACUUAGCUGGAAAUGUGAAUCAACUAGAAUUCGAAUUUGGGUCUCAGAUACCAACCAUCAAACCCUUUACCACUUGAUCUAGGGACGGUCAAUUACUUAAUUUCACUACAACAAAAACGGUCUAUAGCGACACUUUUAAAUAUAGGUACAUGUCAAAAAAGUGCUGCUAGCUAAAAUUACCGACACUUUUAAAAAGUGUUGCUAUAUGUGGGGUCGCUAGGUAUAUAGUGACAGUUAAAGAGUGUCGCU